RNAcentral lists this ribosomal RNA (253 nucleotides) under uncultured bacterium. RNAcentral describes it as "partial 16S ribosomal RNA". It matches the Rfam family "Bacterial small subunit ribosomal RNA", at positions 524 to 776 of the family's 1533-position model. The record is from RNAcentral.
UACGAAGGGUGCUAGCGUUGUCCGGAAUUAUUGGGCGUAAAGGGCUCGUAGGCGGUCCAUCACGUCGGGAGUUAAAAGCUGGGGCUUAACCCCAGUCCUGCUUCCGAUACGGGUGGACUAGAGGUAGGCAGGGGAGAACGGAAUUCCUGGUGUAGCGGUGAAAUGCGUAGAUAUCCGGAGGAACACCAAAGGCGAAGGCAGUGUCCUGGGUGGUACCUGACGCUCAGGUGCGAAAGCUAGGGGAGCGAACAGG